RNAcentral lists this unclassified non-coding RNA (162 nucleotides) under uncultured Capronia. RNAcentral's name for it is "sequence contains ITS2". Lineage: Eukaryota; Fungi; Ascomycota; Eurotiomycetes; Chaetothyriales; Herpotrichiellaceae. The record is from RNAcentral.
UCACCUCUCAAGCCUGGCUUGCUGUUGGACUCUAGGUCAUGCUUUAGCUAAGACCGGUCCCAAAGAUAAUGACGGCGUCUGUGAGGACCCCAGUACAAUGAGCUUUUAUAGCAUGUAUUAGGCGGGAGUCCAGGCCCGGUCUUACUUGUAAUUUUAUCAAGG